GGCUGUAGCUCAGUGGUAAUGGUAGAGUAUCUGCUUUGAGGCAGAAGGUCCCAGGUUCUGUCCCUGACAUCGCCA
Podarcis lilfordi (Lilford's wall lizard) is the source of this 75-nucleotide non-coding RNA. NCBI's taxonomy places the organism in Eukaryota, Metazoa, Chordata, Lepidosauria, Squamata, Lacertidae. The record is from the annotation of a GenBank genome assembly.